GGUUAAGCGACUAAGCGUACACGGUGGAUGCCCAGGCAGUCAGAGGCGAUGAAGGGCGUGCUAAUCUGCGAUAAGCGUCGGUAAGGUGAUAUGAACCGCAACAACCGACGAUACCCGAAUGGGGAAACCCAGUGCAAUCCGUUGCACUAUCAUGUCAUGAAUACAUAGUGGCAUGAGGCGAACCGGGGGAACUGAAACAUCUAAGUACCCCGAGGAAAAGAAAUCAACCGAGAUUCCCCCAGUAGCGGCGAGCGAACGGGGAACAGCCCAGAACCUGAAUCAGUUUGUGCCUUAGUGGAAGCGUCUGGAAAGUCGCGCAGUAAAGGGUGACAGCCCCGUACACAAAAAGGCACUUGCUGUGAGUUCGAUGAGUAGGGCGGGACACGUGACAUCCUGUCUGAAUAUGGGGGGACCAUCCUCCAAGGCUAAAUACUCCUGACUGACCGAUAGUGAACCAGUACCGUGAGGGAAAGGCGAAAAGAACCCCGGCGAGGGGAGUGAAACAGAACCUGAAACCGUGUACGUACAAGCAGUGGGAGCACCUUCGUGGUGUGACUGCGUACCUUUUGUAUAAUGGGUCAGCGACUUAUAUUCUGUAGCAAGGUUAACCGUAUAGGGGAGCCGCAGGGAAACCGAGUCUUAACUGGGCGUUAAGUUGCAGGGUAUAGACCCGAAACCCGGUGAUCUAGCCAUGGGCAGGUUGAAGGUUGGGUAACACUAACUGGAGGACCGAACCGACUAAUGUUGAAAAAUUAGCGGAUGACCUGUGGCUGGGGUGAAAGGCCAAUCAAACCGGGAGAUAGCUGGUUCUCCCCGAAAGCUAUUUAGGUAGCGCCUCGUGAAUUCAUCUCCGGGGGUAGAGCACUGUUUCGGCUAGGGGGCCAUCCCGGCUUACCAACCCGAUGCAAACUGCGAAUACCGGAGAAUGUUAUCACGGGAGACACACGGCGGGUGCUAACGUCCGUCGUGAAGAGGGAAACAACCCAGACCGCCAGCUAAGGUCCCAAAGUCAUGGUUAAGUGGGAAACGAUGUGGGAAGGCACAGACAGCCAGGAUGUUGGCUUAGAAGCAGCCAUCAUUUAAAGAAAGCGUAAUAGCUCACUGGUCGAGUCGGCCUGCGCGGAAGAUGUAACGGGGCUAAACCAUGCACCGAAGCUGCGGCAGCGGACGUAUCACCCAAGCAGAUUCACUGAAGUGGAUAACGAUUGACGGAGCGCAGCGACGUCAAUGCGCCAUCAAAGUCGAGUCGACUUCGGGAUACGUCCGUUGGGUAGGGGAGCGUUCUGUAAGCCGUCGAAGGUGUGCUGUGAGGCAUGCUGGAGGUAUCAGAAGUGCGAAUGCUGACAUAAGUAACGAUAAAGCGGGUGAAAAGCCCGCUCGCCGGAAGACCAAGGGUUCCUGUCCAACGUUAAUCGGGGCAGGGUGAGUCGACCCCUAAGGCGAGGCCGAAAGGCGUAGUCGAUGGGAAACGGGUUAAUAUUCCCGUACUGGGUGUUACUGCGAAGGGGGGACGGAGAAGGCUAUGUUAGCCGGGCGACGGUUGUCCCGGUUUAAGCGUGCAGGCUUGAGUUCCAGGCAAAUCCGGAACUCUUUAAGGCUGAGGCGUGAUGACGAGGCACCACGGUGCUGAAGUAACAAAUGCCCUGCUUCCAGGAAAAGCCUCUAAGCAUCAGGUAACAUCCAAUCGUACCCCAAACCGACACAGGUGGUCAGGUAGAGAAUACCAAGGCGCUUGAGAGAACUCGGGUGAAGGAACUAGGCAAAAUGGUGCCGUAACUUCGGGAGAAGGCACGCUGGCGCGUAGGUGAAGCGACUUGCUCGUGGAGCUGAAGCCAGUCGAAGAUACCAGCUGGCUGCAACUGUUUAUUAAAAACACAGCACUGUGCAAACACGAAAGUGGACGUAUACGGUGUGACGCCUGCCCGGUGCCGGAAGGUUAAUUGAUGGGGUUAUCCGUAAGGAGAAGCUCUUGAUCGAAGCCCCGGUAAACGGCGGCCGUAACUAUAACGGUCCUAAGGUAGCGAAAUUCCUUGUCGGGUAAGUUCCGACCUGCACGAAUGGCGUAAUGAUGGCCAGGCUGUCUCCACCCGAGACUCAGUGAAAUUGAACUCGCUGUGAAGAUGCAGUGUACCCGCGGCAAGACGGAAAGACCCCGUGAACCUUUACUACAGCUUGACACUGAACAUUGAGCCUUGAUGUGUAGGAUAGGUGGGAGGCUUUGAAGCGUGGACGCCAGUCUGCGUGGAGCCAACCUUGAAAUACCACCCUUUAACGUUUGAUGUUCUAACCUGGCGCCGUAAUCCGGCGUGGGGACAGUGUCUGGUGGGUAGUUUGACUGGGGCGGUCUCCUCCCAAAGAGUAACGGAGGAGCACGAAGGUCAGCUAAUCACGGUCGGACAUCGUGAGGUUAGUGCAAUGGCAUAAGCUGGCUUGACUGCGAGAGUGACGGCUCGAGCAGGUGCGAAAGCAGGUCAUAGUGAUCCGGUGGUUCUGAAUGGAAGGGCCAUCGCUCAACGGAUAAAAGGUACUCCGGGGAUAACAGGCUGAUACCGCCCAAGAGUUCAUAUCGACGGCGGUGUUUGGCACCUCGAUGUCGGCUCAUCACAUCCUGGGGCUGAAGUAGGUCCCAAGGGUACGGCUGUUCGCCGUUUAAAGUGGUACGCGAGCUGGGUUUAGAACGUCGUGAGACAGUUCGGUCCCUAUCUGCCGUGGGCGCUGGAAGAUUGAGAGGGGUUGCUCCUAGUACGAGAGGACCGGAGUGAACGCACCGCUGGUGUUCGGGUUGUCAUGCCAAUGGCAUUGCCCGGUAGCUAAGUGCGGAAAAGAUAAGCGCUGAAAGCAUCUAAGCGCGAAACUUGCCUCGAGAUGAAUCUUCCCUGACUCCUUGAGAGUCCUGAAGGGACGUUGAAGACGACGACGUUGAUAGGCCGGGUGUGUAAGCGCAGCGAUGCGUUGAGCUAACCGGUACUAAUGACCCGUGAGGCUUAACCUU
Molecule: ribosomal RNA, 2992 nt
Filed under: Erwinia amylovora
Lineage: Bacteria; Pseudomonadati; Pseudomonadota; Gammaproteobacteria; Enterobacterales; Erwiniaceae
Description: 23S ribosomal RNA
Rfam family: Bacterial large subunit ribosomal RNA
Source: RNAcentral